GACGAACGCUGGCGGCGUGCUUAACACAUGCAAGUCGAACGGAAAGGCCCUGCUUUUGUGGGGUGCUCGAGUGGCGAACGGGUGAGUAACACGUGAGUAACCUGCCCUUGACUUUGGGAUAACUUCAGGAAACUGGGGCUAAUACCGGAUAGGAGCUCCUUCUGCAUGGUGGGGGUUGGAAAGUUUCGGCGGUUGGGGAUGGACUCGCGGCUUAUCAGCUUGUUGGUGGGGUAGUGGCUUACCAAGGCUUUGACGGGUAGCCGGCCUGAGAGGGUGACCGGCCACAUUGGGACUGAGAUACGGCCCAGACUCCUACGGGAGGCAGCAGUGGGGAAUAUUGCACAAUGGGCGGAAGCCUGAUGCAGCAACGCCGCGUGCGGGAUGACGGCCUUCGGGUUGUAAACCGCUUUCGCCUGUGACGAAGCGUGAGUGACGGUAAUGGGUAAAGAAGCACCGGCUAACUACGUG
This 468-nucleotide ribosomal RNA is filed under the name uncultured bacterium. RNAcentral's name for it is "partial 16S ribosomal RNA". It matches the Rfam family "Bacterial small subunit ribosomal RNA", at positions 28 to 507 of the family's 1533-position model. The record is from RNAcentral.